ACGUACUUGUACUGAUUGAGAUUUUAACACGAAGUGAGUGGCGAACGGGUGAGUAACACGUGGGUAACCUGCCCAGAAGUAGGGGAUAACACCUGGAAACAGAUGCUAAUACCGUAUAACAGAGAAAACCGCAUGGUUUUCUUUUAAAAGAUGGCUCUGCUAUCACUUCUGGAUGGACCCGCGGCGUAUUAGCUAGUUGGUGAGGUAAAGGCUCACCAAGGCAGUGAUACGUAGCCGACCUGAGAGGGUAAUCGGCCACAUUGGGACUGAGACACGGCCCAGACUCCUACGGGAGGCAGCAGUAGGGAAUCUUCCACAAUGGACGCAAGUCUGAUGGAGCAACGCCGCGUGAGUGAAGAAGGAUUUCGGCUCGUAAAGCUCUGUUGUUAAAGAAGAACGUGGGUAAGAGUAACUGUUUACCCAGUGACGGUAUUUAACCAGAAAGCCACGGCUAACUACGUGCCAGCAGCCGCGGUAAUACGUAGGUGGCAAGCGUUAUCCGGAUUUAUUGGGCGUAAAGCGAGCGCAGGCGGUCUUUUAAGUCUAAUGUGAAAGCCUUCGGCUCAACCGAAGAAGUGCAUUGGAAACUGGGAGACUUGAGUGCAGAAGAGGACAGUGGAACUCCAUGUGUAGCGGUGAAAUGCGUAGAUAUAUGGAAGAACACCAGUGGCGAAGGCGGCUGUCUGGUCUGCAACUGACGCUGAGGCUCGAAAGCAUGGGUAGCGAACAGGAUUAGAUACCCUGGUAGUCCAUGCCGUAAACGAUGAUUACUAAGUGUUGGAGGGUUUCCGCCCUUCAGUGCUGCAGCUAACGCAUUAAGUAAUCCGCCUGGGGAGUACGACCGCAAGGUUGAAACUCAAAAGAAUUGACGGGGGCCCGCACAAGCGGUGGAGCAUGUGGUUUAAUUCGAAGCUACGCGAAGAACCUUACCAGGUCUUGACAUCUUCUGACAGUCUAAGAGAUUAGAGGUUCCCUUCGGGGACAGAAUGACAGGUGGUGCAUGGUUGUCGUCAGCUCGUGUCGUGAGAUGUUGGGUUAAGUCCCGCAACGAGCGCAACCCUUAUUACUAGUUGCCAGCAUUAAGUUGGGCACUCUAGUGAGACUGCCGGUGACAAACCGGAGGAAGGUGGGGACGACGUCAAAUCAUCAUGCCCCUUAUGACCUGGGCUACACACGUGCUACAAUGGAUGGUACAACGAGUCGCGAGACCGCGAGGUUAAGCUAAUCUCUUAAAACCAUUCUCAGUUCGGACUGUAGGCUGCAACUCGCCUACACGAAGUCGGAAUCGCUAGUAAUCGCGGAUCAGCAUGCCGCGGUGAAUACGUUCCCGGGCCUUGUACACACCGCCCGUCACACCAUGAGAGUUUGUAACACCCAAAGCCGGU
This 1385-nucleotide ribosomal RNA is filed under the name Pediococcus pentosaceus. RNAcentral's name for it is "bacterial SSU rRNA". It matches the Rfam family "Bacterial small subunit ribosomal RNA", at positions 66 to 1431 of the family's 1533-position model. The record is from RNAcentral. Lineage: Bacteria; Bacillati; Bacillota; Bacilli; Lactobacillales; Lactobacillaceae.